Tachyglossus aculeatus (Australian echidna) is the source of this 138-nucleotide small nucleolar RNA. NCBI's taxonomy places the organism in Eukaryota, Metazoa, Chordata, Mammalia, Monotremata, Tachyglossidae. The record is from RefSeq and is a predicted model, not a curated record.
CCCGUCUUGGGUUCACAUCUGGAGAGUUUCUGGUACUCUACCAGUCUUGGCUACAAGAGGGAGAGUCACUCAGAGACAUACCCAUUCCAUUCCUAGCUUGGGCAGUGGCUAAUGAGUGGAAGGCAGUCUGCUACAAGU